UCCUACGGGUGGCAGCAGUGGGGAAUUUUGGACAAUGGGCGCAAGCCUGAUCCAGCAAUGCCGCGUGCAGGAAGAAGGCCUUCGGGUUGUAAACUGCUUUUGUACGGAACGAAACGGUCCUGGUUAAUACCCGGGGCUAAUGACGGUACCGUAAGAAUAAGCACCGGCUAACUACGUGCCAGCAGCCGCGGUAAUACGUAGGGUGCAAGCGUUAAUCGGAAUUACUGGGCGUAAAGCGUGCGCAGGCGGUGCUGUAAGACAGGCGUGAAAUCCACGGGCUUAACCUGGGAACUUCACUUGUGACUGCAAAGCUGGAGGGCGGCAGAGGGGGAUGGAAUUCCGCGUGUAGCAGUGAAAUGCGUAGAUAUGCGGAGGAACACCGAUGGCGAAGGCAAUCCCCUGGGCCUGCACUGACGCUCAUGCACGAAAGCGUGGGGAGCAAACAGGAUUAGAUACCCUUGUAGUCAC
This 468-nucleotide ribosomal RNA is filed under the name uncultured Comamonadaceae bacterium. Its description in RNAcentral is "bacterial SSU rRNA". It matches the Rfam family "Bacterial small subunit ribosomal RNA", at positions 337 to 798 of the family's 1533-position model. Lineage: Bacteria; Pseudomonadati; Pseudomonadota; Betaproteobacteria; Burkholderiales; Comamonadaceae. The record is from RNAcentral.